RNAcentral lists this long non-coding RNA (1007 nucleotides) under Neogale vison (American mink). Its description in RNAcentral is "Neovison vison (American mink) lncRNA (ENSNVIG00000020775.1)". The record is from RNAcentral. Lineage: Eukaryota; Metazoa; Chordata; Mammalia; Carnivora; Mustelidae.
CAACAGCACCCCCCACCCGGGGAGCUUCCAAGGACCACGCCGCCGGCUGUCCCUGUGGGGCUCUGAGCGCAGAGCCCAGCCGGCUGGCUCCCUCCCAGCACGAACCCCGCGGACUCUCACCUCUCCGGGGGAGCAGGGGCUUCCGGGUCCUUGUAAAAGCCCCAGCCCGCUGCCCCAGGGCUGUUCUGCAGCUGCUGGAGAGAGAUGCGGAAUGAAUGUACUUUCAGGAAGAGGCAAGGGAAGAGAGGUUGGAAACUAACUCUGCCAGAAACUGCCGUGUUUGGAAUUUUUCUUUUCUUCUGCUGCAUUUCCACCGCGAGCCCAUCUCUCCCCUGGCCAUCGAGACGCGGGCUCCCCCGGCCCGGCAGAGAAACACCUGGAAAAGGGCUCCCUGAGACAGGAAGGCGGUUCCUCUUCCUCUGGCCAUACGUUGUAAAGGAAGGAAUGCAUAUGCGGAGUAACACUGUGUGGUGAGCAAGUGUGAAACGCAUGGGCUGUGAUUCAACUCCUCGCUGCCUGCCGGAAUCCAGCGGGCUGGAAUCGAGAAGAACUUUGAUUUCCAUUCAGCGGCUGAGUUCCUCCCUGGAUCGGAGUGCCGAUCGGCAUGUAAGGUUAUAGAUGCCUUGGAAACAGCUCUGGCUGGAAUGAAGAGUGUAGGAAGUUGAUGCAGGGUGAGGAGGUUGCAGGGUGCCGAGGAGGACAAGGCUGGGGAGAUGGUUUUUUAAAUGCAUGGGCUCGAUCUAAACCUCGUAUCCACAGUCAAGGGCCUCAAAUAGUUCUGAAGUGGAGAGAGCAUUAGAGGCCCCUUCACGGUGCAGAUAACAAGACCGAGGCCCAGAGAGGGGCAAUCACUGGCUUGAGGUUACACAACAAGGGUGGCUGAGGCAAGCGCCCUGGAACAUGGAGCCAUGUCCUCCAAAGGAGGAAGGAAACACGAUCACUGUGGUGGGGGGCCUGGGGGGCUCAGUGGGUUAAGCCUCUGCCUUUGGCUCAGGUCAUGAUCUUAG